Molecule: ribosomal RNA, 253 nt
Filed under: uncultured bacterium
Lineage: Bacteria
Description: partial 16S ribosomal RNA
Rfam family: Bacterial small subunit ribosomal RNA
Source: RNAcentral
GACGAACCGUGCGAACGUUGUUCGGAAUCACUGGGCUUAAAGGGCGCGUAGGCGGGUCAUCAAGUCCGGGGUGAAAUCCUUCGGCUUAACCGGAGCAGGGCUUCGGAUACUGGUGACCUCGAGGGGUGUAGGGGCAUGUGGAACUUCCGGUGGAGCGGUGAAAUGCGUAGAUAUCGGAAGGAACGCCGGUGGCGAAAGCGACGUGCUGGACACCUUCUGACGCUGAGGCGCGAAAGCCAGGGGAGCAAACGGG